UACGUAGGGGGCGAGCGUUGUCCGGAAUCAUUGGGCGUAAAGCGCGUGUAGGCGGCUCGGUAAGUCCGGUGUGAAACCUUGGGGCUCAACCCCAAGCCUGCACUGGAUACUGUCGAGCUCGAGUCCGGGAGGGGAGAGCGGAAUUCCCGGUGUAGAGGUGAAAUUCGUAGAUAUCGGGAGGAACACCAGUGGCGAAGGCGGCUCGUCUGGGCAGGUACCGACGCUGAGACGCGAAAGCGUGGGAAGCAA
RNAcentral lists this ribosomal RNA (249 nucleotides) under uncultured bacterium. RNAcentral describes it as "partial 16S ribosomal RNA". It matches the Rfam family "Bacterial small subunit ribosomal RNA", at positions 524 to 771 of the family's 1533-position model. The record is from RNAcentral.